CCUACGGGAGGCAGCAGUGGGGAAUAUUGCGCAAUGGGCGAAAGCCUGACGCAGCAACGCCGCGUGAAGGAAGAAGGGUUUCGGGUCGUAAACUUCUAUCAACAGGGACGAAAGAAGUGACGGUACCUGAGUAAUAAGCCACGGCUAACUACGUGCCAGCAGCCGCGGUAAUACGUAGGUGGCAAGCGUUAUCCGGAUUUACUGGGUGUAAAGGGCGAGUAGGCGGGAGGGCAAGUCAGAUGUGAAAACCCUGGGCUUAACCCGGGGAUUGCAUUUGAAACUGUUAAGCUAGAGUGCGGGAGAGGAAAGCGGAAUUCCGGGUGUAGCGGUGAAAUGCGUAGAUAUAUGGAGGAACACCAGUGGCGAAGGCGGCUUUCUGGACUGUAACUGACGCUGAGGCGCGAAAGCGUGGGGAGCAAACAGGAUUAGAUACCCUUGUAGUC
Molecule: ribosomal RNA, 443 nt
Filed under: uncultured bacterium
Lineage: Bacteria
Description: partial 16S ribosomal RNA
Rfam family: Bacterial small subunit ribosomal RNA
Source: RNAcentral